GAAAUCAAAAAAAUAAAAUUUAAAUGCAAUAUUCAUGGAUACAAAUAAGGACACAUCCAGGGCAAAAUAAAUGAAGGUCACAGAACCAUCUUAACACUUAAAUUCUUACUUAGCAAUUGCAGCGUUCAUGGAUACAACAUUGAACAUCUCAAUUCAAAGAGAUCACGAGAUCCCAUUUAUACUUUAGACGCACACAAACAUCACCGAAAGGUAGGUACCUUCCCUAGCGUUCCGCCACCAACCUAAGCAGACCACUUCUCUAGAUGUAUCUACAAGGCGUCGAGGUCCUUCACCUGGGCAACCUCCAGACAGUGGCGUCGAGGUCCUCCACCUCGACGACUCAGGACGGUGGCGUCAAGGUCCUCCACCUCGGUGACCUCCAGCGCCGCAAUCACCUGGACAAUCAUCUAUAUGACGCGGUCGCCAGGCUUCACGGUGAAGUCCGUCUCUGUGUGGUUGAAGAGCACGACGCAGACCAGGUCACGGUAGUCCACGUCGAUCAACCCUGCACCCACGCCGGGAAAGUGAAAACUUGUUAGUUCGGGUACUUGUGCUGGUAGUAGGGUAUUUUCUUCAUUUAUCAGUCUCUUUUAGUCUAUUAUGAAUCUUCAAAACGGAAAGACACCUACUAAAUGCGUACCCUAGCUAUACGUGUUCAUGCUAUUUUAUUGUUUUGGUGUAUACAAGAAAUUAAUACUUGUGUAUUUGAGCUAUAUAUGCUUGAAAUAUUUGUCAGCUAACAUUCUGUUCUACAUUAUUGUUGCAUGGAUAGGGAAAUAGACAAGCAAGGACUUCAGAAAAUCAAUUCCCACUGCUUUUCAAAACAAGGAAUAGGCGAAGUCUAUUUUGAAUUUUGAUAUUCCAUGCCAACUUCAAGUAUAUAUGCUACCAUGUAAUCUUUGAACGUGGAUCAAAAUGAGAUUUCAGGCUUUGUCAACCUUACCAUGAUCAGUACUAAAUUCUCUAGGCGGCUCAACCUUUCCUUGUAGGGAGUAUUUCUUUCACCUAGUAUCUCAUUGUUAAGUUUGGAAAGAAACCUGCAUACCUUCAGAUAGUCAUCCAUAUCCCGAAGAAAAAAACAGUAUACAUUUUCAGUGACUCACAAUAUAUCAUCGAAUACUGCUCCGGUUUACUCUAAGAAUAAUUGCUACAAGACUCUCUACAUACAUACAAGACUACAUACAUACAUACAUAUUUUCACCAAGAAUUAGCUAGCAGUCUAAUAUAAUUCCCUUUCCAAUUACUCAAGGAGGAACUGAUGAAAAGACAAGUUAAUUAGGUGGUACAAAAAUUAAACCUUUUGAUAUGGACGGAUGCCCUCUUCACUCAGAUCUGAAGAUGGAC
This 1344-nucleotide long non-coding RNA is filed under the name Triticum aestivum (bread wheat). RNAcentral describes it as "long non-coding RNA (TAES_LNC013028)". Lineage: Eukaryota; Viridiplantae; Streptophyta; Magnoliopsida; Poales; Poaceae. The record is from RNAcentral.